Molecule: ribosomal RNA, 253 nt
Filed under: uncultured bacterium
Lineage: Bacteria
Description: partial 16S ribosomal RNA
Rfam family: Bacterial small subunit ribosomal RNA
Source: RNAcentral
UACGUAGGUGGCAAGCUUUGUCCGGAUUUAUUGGGUUUAAAGGGUGCGUAGGCGGCUUUUUAAGUCAGUGGUGAAAGCCGAUCGCUUAACGAUCGAACUGCCAUUGAUACUGAGAGGCUUGAGUAUAGUUGAGGUAGGCGGAAUUGACAGUGUAGCGGUGAAAUGCAUAGAUAUUGUGAAGAACAACAAUUGCGAAGGCAGCUUACUAAAGUAUAACUGACGCUGAGGCACGAGAGUGCGGGGAUCAAUCAGG